This 216-nucleotide unclassified non-coding RNA is filed under the name Hevea brasiliensis (rubber tree). The record is from RNAcentral. Lineage: Eukaryota; Viridiplantae; Streptophyta; Magnoliopsida; Malpighiales; Euphorbiaceae.
CAUUUUGCAUACACAGGCUCAUACUUUUCUUGCAAAAAUGAAAGUAGCUUCUGCUUAUCUAAUUUAGCAGGAUCAACACCAUGUUCAUUAUACUCAGCAAUCCAUUUUUCCAGCGGCAACAUUGUAUCCUUGACUUUCACACUGUACUUCCAUUUUUUAGCUCUGCACCCUGUGUGUCUUUCCCAUUCGCUAGGUGUUUGCUUCCGUGACCCACAC